RNAcentral lists this ribosomal RNA (1472 nucleotides) under uncultured bacterium. RNAcentral's name for it is "partial 16S ribosomal RNA". It matches the Rfam family "Bacterial small subunit ribosomal RNA". The record is from RNAcentral.
AGAGUUUGAUCAUGGCUCAGGACUAACGCUGGCGGUAUGCCUUAGACAUGCAAGUCGAACGAGUUUCCGGGCUUGCUCGGAAGCUAGUGGCGAACGGCUGAGUAACGCGUAGGUGACCUACCCCGUAGUGUGGAAUAACUGCCCGAAAGGGUAGCUAAUACCGCAUGUUGAGCCGACUUCACUGUCGUCUCCAAAGCAGAAAUGCGCUAUGGGCGGGGCCUGCGUUCGAUUAGCUAGUUGGUGGGGUAACGGCUCACCAAGGCGACGAUCGAUAGGUGGUCUGAGAGGACGAUCACCCAGACUGGGACUGAGACACGGCCCAGACUCCUACGGGAGGCAGCAGUCGGGAAUUUUGCGCAAUGGGGGAAACCCUGACGCAGCAAUACCGCGUGUGGGAUGAAGGCCUUCGGGUCGUAAACCACUUUUUUCGGGGACGAUAAUGACGGUACCCGAAGAAUAAGCCACGGCUAACUACGUGCCAGCAGCCGCGGUAAUACGUAGGUGGCAAGCGUUGUCCGGAUUUACUGGGCGUAAAGCGCGCGCAGGCGGUGAAUGAAGUCGAAAGUGAAAGCCCCGGGCUCAACUCGGGAACUGCUUUCGAAACCAGUUCACUUGAAGGCGGAAGAGGGAAGUGGAAUUCCGAGUGUAGUGGUGGAAUGCGUAGAUAUUAGGAGGAACACCAAUGGCGAAGGCAGGUCUCUGGGCCAUAACUGACACUGAGGAGCGAAAGUGCGGGGAGCGAACAGGAUUAGAUACCCUGGUAGUCCGCACCGUAAACGGUGGGCACUAGUUGUGGGAACCUUCCACGGUUUCCGCGACGCAGCAAACGCAUUAAGUGCCCCGCCUGGGGAGUACGAUCGCAAGAUUAAAACUCAAAGGAAUUGACGGGGCCCCGCACAAGCAGCGGAGCAUGCGGCUUAAUUCGACGCAACGCGAAGAACCUUACCAAGGCUUGACAUAUAGCGAAAAGUGGCAGAGAUGUCAUGUCCGCAAGGGCGCUAUACAGGUGGUGCAUGGUUGUCGUCAGCUCGUGUCGUGAGAUGUUGGGUUAAGUCCCGCAACGAGCGCAACCCCUACUUUUAGUUGCCAUCAGGUCAUGCUGGGCACUCUGAAAGAACUGCCAGUGAUAAGCUGGAGGAAGGUGGGGAUGACGUCAAGUCCUCAUGGCCCUUACGGGUUGGGCUACACACGUGCUACAAUGGUAGUGACAAUGAGAUGCAAGGUGGCGACGCUAAGCUAAACUCAAAAAUCUACCUCAGUUCGGAUUGCACUCUGCAACUCGAGUGCAUGAAGCUGGAAUCGCUAGUAAUCGUAGAUCAGCGUGCUACGGUGAAUACGUUCCCGGGUCUUGUACACACCGCCCGUCACACCAUGGAAGUUGGUUCUACCUUAAAGCAGAUUGCUAACCGCAAGGAGGCGUCUGACCAAGGUAUAGUCAGCGACUGGGGUGAAGUCAUAACAAGGUAGCCGUA